Rosa rugosa (rugosa rose) is the source of this 473-nucleotide long non-coding RNA. RefSeq lists it as uncharacterized. NCBI's taxonomy places the organism in Eukaryota, Viridiplantae, Streptophyta, Magnoliopsida, Rosales, Rosaceae. The record is from RefSeq and is a predicted model, not a curated record. The transcript has 2 exons.
GGAAGAGAUUUAUGUUCCAGCAAUAUAUGUCAGAGUGGUAAUUCAUGAUUAAAACUGGUAUGUGAUUACAUUACUGCAGGUUGCUGAGGGGUAGAUUCCACUCGUGGUAGCUAAAGGAGAGGAGAUAGCACGUUAUAAAGGACUUGAUCCGACAGAGCGUUUACUAAUGUUAAAAGCACUCUGUGAACUCCGAGCCGAUGUAUUUACUCCUUUGUCAUUAUUUUUUCUGUUUCUUAAUGUCAAGUGGUGUACAUACCGGAUAUCCUAGCUUUAUGUUACCAUUUGUUUUGGUAUUUUGAUGAGCCUCCUGCUAGCUAGUUUUAGUUUUUGCUUUAGUUAUAGGCAUGGUUAAUGCAAUGUGGACGCGUUUAUGUUUUCCGGCUUUAUGCAGUUAUAGCCACUUAGGCAAUGUUAAUUCUUAUGUAAAUGUUGGGAUGAAUAUUGCUGAUGAAUGAAAUGGCUUUUGGAAUCAA